GGCUUUGCGAGGCUCACUCGGUCUGAGAGGUCGGAGGCUGCGAGUGUCGCUGCUGAAGGCUGUGGUGGACCGGGCUGGAUCGCGGAUUGUGGAGUAGAUUAUAGAUUUGAAAUAGCGGAGUUGGGGUUGGAUCGGGGCUUUGGGGUUGGAUAGGGGAUUUGGGGCUGGGUCGGCCGGGGUCGGGGAGGGGGGUGGUGAAAAGGUGACAGGGAGCUGCCCUCGCUCAAGAGCCGGUGGUUGGGGGUCUGAGAAGAAGUCACCAAUAUGAAGUUAUUCGGCUUCGGGAGCCGCAGGGGCCAGACGGCCCAGGGCUCCAUAGACCACGUCUACACGGGUUCCGGAUACCGAAUCCGGGACUCCGAACUGCAGAAGAUCCACAGGGCAGCUGUCAAAGGCGACGCCGCGGAGGUGGAGCGCUGCUUGGCGCGCAGGAGCGGAGAACUGGACGCCCUGGACAAGCAGCACAGGAAAUUCUUUCAAAUCAAAUCAUCAAACACUCUAAAAGUGGGCAAAGUACCUUUUUCCAGAUCUACAAGUUACUUAUAUACAUAGGAAAAAAUCCUUCGCAUUUCUGGUAUAAGAAUUUAAACUAAAAGAGGAAUGAAACAGUUUUCUAUCCACAAUAUUUGUGAGGAUGUUUUAUACUGCUGCUUAAAGUUGCUGAUUACUUUUCAAAGUACUCAUUUGAAAAUGAACUGCUCUACACUUGGCCUGUGCCAGUGGCCAUGUGCAAGUGGUCACUCUCCUGGUUAACAGAAAAUGCCAGAUUGAUGUCUGUGACAAAGAAAACAGAACGCCUUUGAUACAGGCUGUCCAUUGCCAGGAAGAGGCUUGUGCCGUUAUUCUGCUGGAACAUGGCGCCAAUCCAAACCUUAAGGAUAUCUACGGCAACACUGCUCUCCAUUAUGCCGUGUAUAGUGAGAGCACCUCACUGGCAGAAAAACUGCUUUCCCAUGGUGCACAUAUUGAAGCACUGGACAAGGACAAUAAUACCCCACUUUUAUUUGCUAUAAUUUGCAAGAAAGAGAAAAUGGUGGAAUUUUUAUUGAAAAAGAAAGCAAGUUCACAUGCCGUUGAUAGGCUGAGACGGUCAGCUCUCAUGCUUGCUGUAUACUAUGACUCACCAGGUAUUGUCAAUAUCCUUCUUAAGCAAAAUAUUGAUGUCUUCGCUCAAGACAUGUGUGGACGAGAUGCAGAAGAUUAUGCUAUUUCUCAUCAUUUGACAAAAAUUCAACAACAAAUUUUGGAACAUAAAAAGAAGAUACUUAAAAAGGAGAAAUCAGAUGUUGGAAGUUCUGAUGAAUCUGCAGUCAGGUAGGAUUUUAUAGAUUUAAAAAAUUAUGUUAACUAAGAAAAUAUAGAUGGAAGAAAUGAGUAUCUGUUGAGUGUUGUAUUCUG
Long non-coding RNA from Homo sapiens (human), 1398 nucleotides. Ensembl annotates it as ankyrin repeat domain 20 family member A5, pseudogene. Its record names the gene ANKRD20A5P. NCBI's taxonomy places the organism in Eukaryota, Metazoa, Chordata, Mammalia, Primates, Hominidae. The record is from Ensembl.